RNAcentral lists this ribosomal RNA (423 nucleotides) under uncultured bacterium. RNAcentral describes it as "bacterial SSU rRNA". It matches the Rfam family "Bacterial small subunit ribosomal RNA", at positions 207 to 622 of the family's 1533-position model. The record is from RNAcentral.
AAGACCUUGCGCUUUUGGAGCGGCCGAUGUCUGAUUAGCUUGUUGGUAAGGUAAAAGCUUACCAAGGCUUCGAUCAGUAGCUGGUCUGAGAGGACGGCCAGCCACACUGGGACUGAGACACGGCCCAGACUCCUACGGGAGGCAGCAGUGGGGAAUUUUGGACAAUGGGGGCAACCCUGAUCCAGCCAUGCCGCGUGAGUGAAGAAGGCCUUCGGGUUGUAAAGCUCUUUCAGCCGGAACGAAACGGUUACGGUUAAUACCCGUGACUACUGACGGUACCGGAAGAAGAAGCACCGGCUAACUACGUGCCAGCAGCCGCGGUAAUACGUAGGAUGCAAGCGUUAAUCGGAAUUACUGGGCGUAAAGCGUGCGCAGGUGGUUUUGUAAGUCAGAUGUGAAAUCCCCGGGCUUAACCUGGGAACU